UGGCUCGAGGACGAACGCUGGCGGCGUGCUUAACACAUGCAAGUCGAACGAAGCAUUUGUGAAGGAGGCUUCGGCCAAUGGAUCAAAUGACUUAGUGGCGGACGGGUGAGUAACGCGUGAGCAACCUGCCUUUCAGAGGGGGAUAACGUUUGGAAACGAACGCUAAUACCGCAUGACAUAGCUUUAUCGCAUGGUAGGGCUAUCAAAGGAGCAAUCCGCUGAAAGAUGGGCUCGCGUCCGAUUAGAUAGUUGGUGGGGUAACGGCCUACCAAGUCGACGAUCGGUAGCCGGACUGAGAGGUUGAACGGCCACAUUGGGACUGAGACACGGCCCAGACUCCUACGGGAGGCAGCAGUGGGGAAUAUUGCACAAUGGGCGCAAGCCUGAAUGCAGCAACGCCGCGUGAGGGAAGGCGGUUUUCGGAUUGUAAACCUCUGUCCUUGGUGACGAAGAAUGACGGUAGCCAAGGAGGAAGCCACGGCUAACUACGUGCCAGCCGCGGC
Molecule: ribosomal RNA, 503 nt
Filed under: uncultured bacterium
Lineage: Bacteria
Description: bacterial SSU rRNA
Rfam family: Bacterial small subunit ribosomal RNA
Source: RNAcentral